AAGCACCCCGGAAGGGGAGUGAAAUAGAACCUGAAACCGUGUGCUUACAAGUAGUCAGAGCCCGUUAAUGGGUGAUGGCGUGCCUUUUGUAGAAUGAACCGGCGAGUUACGAUUUGAUGCAAGGUUAAGCAGUAAAUGUGGAGCCGUAGCGAAAGCGAGUCUGAAUAGGGCGUUUAGUAUUUGGUCGUAGACCCGAAACCAGGUGAUCUACCCUUGGUCAGGUUGAAGUUCAGGUAACACUGAAUGGAGGACCGAACCGACUUACGUUGAAAAGUGAGCGGAUGAACUGAGGGUAGCGGAGAAAUUCCAAUCGAACCUGGAGAUAGCUGGUUCUCUCCGAAAUAGCUUUAGGGCUAGCCUCAAGUGAUGAUUAUUGGAGGUAGAGCACUGUUUGGACGAGGGGCCCCUCUCGGGUUACCGAAUUCAGACAAACUCCGAAUGCCAAUUAAUUUAACUUGGGAGUCAGAACAUGGGUGAUAAGGUCCGUGUUCGAAAGGGAAACAGCCCAGACCACCAGCUAAGGUCCCAAAAUAUAUGUUAAGUGGAAAAGGAUGUGGCGUUGCCCAGACAACUAGGAUGUUGGCUUAGAAGCAGCCAUCAUUUAAAGAGUGCGUAAUAGCUCACUAGUCGAGUGACACUGCGCCGAAAAUGUACCGGGGCUAAACAUAUUACCGAAGCUGUGGAUUGUCCUUUGGACAAUGGUAGGAGAGCGUUCUAAGGGCGUUGAAGCAUGAUCGUAAGGACAUGUGGAGCGCUUAGAAGUGAGAAUGCCGGUGUGAGUAGCGAAAGACGGGUGAGAAUCCCGUCCACCGAUUGACUAAGGUUUCCAGAGGAAGGCUCGUCCGCUCUGGGUUAGUCGGGUCCUAAGCUGAGGCCGACAGGCGUAGGCGAUGGAUAACAGGUUGAUAUUCCUGUACCACCUAUAAUCGUUUUAAUCGAUGGGGGGACGCAGUAGGAUAGGCGAAGCGUGCGAUUGGAUUGCACGUCUAAGCAGUAAGGCUGAGUAUUAGGCAAAUCCGGUACUCAUUAAGGCUGAGCUGUGAUGGGGAGAAGACAUUGUGUCUUCGAGUCGUUGAUUUCACACUGCCGAGAAAAGCCUCUAGAUAGAAAAUAGGUGCCCGUACCGCAAACCGACACAGGUAGUCAAGAUGAGAAUUCUAAGGUGAGCGAGCGAACUCUCGUUAAGGAACUCGGCAAAAUGACCCCGUAACUUCGGGAGAAGGGGUGCUCUUUAGGGUUAACGCCCAGAAGAGCCGCAGUGAAUAGGCCCAAGCGACUGUUUAUCAAAAACACAGGUCUCUGCUAAACCGUAAGGUGAUGUAUAGGGGCUGACGCCUGCCCGGUGCUGGAAGGUUAAGAGGAGUGGUUAGCUUCUGCGAAGCUACGAAUCGAAGCCCCAGUAAACGGCGGCCGUAACUAUAACGGUCCUAAGGUAGCGAAAUUCCUUGUCGGGUAAGUUCCGACCCGCACGAAAGGCGUAACGAUUUGGGCACUGUCUCAACGAGAGACUCGGUGAAAUCAUAGUACCUGUGAAGAUGCAGGUUACCCGCGACAGGACGGAAAGACCCCGUGGAGCUUUACUGUAGCCUGAUAUUGAAAUUCGGCACAGCUUGUACAGGAUAGGUAGGAGCCUUUGAAACGUGAGCGCUAGCUUACGUGGAGGCGCUGGUGGGAUACUACCCUAGCUGUGUUGGCUUUCUAACCCGCACCACUUAUCGUGGUGGGAGACAGUGUCAGGCGGGCAGUUUGACUGGGGCGGUCGCCUCCUAAAAGGUAACGGAGGCGCUCAAAGGUUCCCUCAGAAUGGUUGGAAAUCAUUCAUAGAGUGUAAAGGCAUAAGGGAGCUUGACUGCGAGACCUACAAGUCGAGCAGGGUCGAAAGACGGACUUAGUGAUCCGGUGGUUCCGCAUGGAAGGGCCAUCGCUCAACGGAUAAAAGCUACCCCGGGGAUAACAGGCUUAUCUCCCCCAAGAGUUCACAUCGACGGGGAGGUUUGGCACCUCGAUGUCGGCUCA
This 2016-nucleotide ribosomal RNA is filed under the name Staphylococcus aureus. RNAcentral describes it as "partial 23S ribosomal RNA". It matches the Rfam family "Bacterial large subunit ribosomal RNA", at positions 519 to 2539 of the family's 2925-position model. The record is from RNAcentral. Lineage: Bacteria; Bacillati; Bacillota; Bacilli; Caryophanales; Staphylococcaceae.